Molecule: ribosomal RNA, 876 nt
Filed under: Triticum aestivum (bread wheat)
Lineage: Eukaryota; Viridiplantae; Streptophyta; Magnoliopsida; Poales; Poaceae
Description: partial small subunit ribosomal RNA
Source: RNAcentral
AUGGGGCUCGCCUUCCCCAUUGCUCAUCAUCACCUCGCGCUCACCCCUGCAUCGUUGUGUCCGUUCCUCCAAUUUUUGCUCCGCCCAUGCCAUGCCUGUUCCUCGCCGGAGGCCACUAGACAAGCUCUGCCCCAUCACUUGCGCGAGAGGAAGCCACGGCGGCGCGCCGCCGGCUGCCACGCUGUUGACUCCGGCGGUGGCUGCGGCACUCGCGAUGGCAUGCUCAGCUUCCUUGUCGGCGGCGAGGAGGCCAUCCUCGCAUGCCUCGGGCUGCUCUUUGCCCACCUUGGUCGACUUCAACACGGCCGAUGUGUGACGCUGACGCCUCGGCGUCUGCAAGGUGGAGCCCAGGCUGGAGGCCGCGCGUUCUGCCCUUGCGCGAUGGCUGCGACCUAUGCGCUGGUGAUUGGUGACGAGGAAGAAGAGGGUGGAGGGCAUGCCCUCGAAGAACCUGAUGGCAAAUCACCGCCGUCGCAAGCUACCUUGAUCAUCAAGAGCUGCAGUUCGAGGUGGAGCGCAAGCAAGGGCCGUGGUGAUACCCGGGUGGAGAUCUACAGUGCCGCCAAGCUGGGUCUGCUGCUAUCGACGUUCUCGCCGUCUUGGGUCCUCCUUGUGGCAUCCGUGUUGGUGUUGUUGGUCAUGCCCAUGGUUGGCGAGGUCCUCCUUGUGGCAUCCGUGUUGGUGUUGUUGGUCAUGCCCAUGGUUGGCGAGCUGCUGCUGAUGGUUGGAAUCCUGAUGGUCGUGCCCGUAGUUCUUCUAACCAUGGCUGAGUUGCUGCUGAUGGUUGGAACACCGCCGCCUUGUGAGGAUGCGGACGGCUUUGACGACGUCCACACCGUGUUCGUGCAGGGGCAUCACCGCCUCCGUGUGGAGUGA